This 943-nucleotide long non-coding RNA is filed under the name Olea europaea subsp. europaea. Lineage: Eukaryota; Viridiplantae; Streptophyta; Magnoliopsida; Lamiales; Oleaceae. The record is from RNAcentral.
CUGGCAAAGAUCCCCUAAAGAACUUUUUUUUUUUUUUUGAAUUUGAAAGCGAGAACUCCUUUCGUCCAUCUAAAUGCCAAUAAGCUUCUUUUCUCCUAAGGUCGGGGCUGUUACUAUAAUUCCCCUUUAUCAAGACAUUGAGAUGUGAUCUGUAAUUGGUCAUGACAUAUCAAGAAUCUUAUGGCAGUAUCUUUGAAAAAUGAAAAGUAAGGGCAAAAUGAACAUUACACCAGUUGGUACAAAAAAUGGUGUAUACCCAAAUUUGGUGCAAUGAUGCAAUGGUUGGAGGAAGUUUGCACCAAAUUUUGGUGCAAUAGGGCAUGCAUUGGAGAUGCCUUAAGGUAUUUUUGUUAACUAUGUAUAUGAGUUGGGCCAUCUAUCUUAUGUAAGGUCAUUUGUAUAGUUAUACCAAAAGUUAUUUUUUCAAGACAUCUGCCAUUGGUAUUUCAAAAGAAAAGAUUGGAAAUGCUUCUUAUUUUCUCUUUUGCAUUAGAUUGCCGACACAUAAUCUCUCCUCUUAAGAUUCAAACCUAAUUUAGAAAAUUUGACUGAUUUACCUUUCGUUGAAUCUACCCAAGCAGAGCAGCAGGUCAUCCUGGACUUGAACACGAGAAAUCACUCGUGAAGUAAAUCAUUGCACCGGUCGUCCAACUAUUGGAAGAGAAUCAAUAGAUCUCUUUUUUUUUUUAGAGUAAUUCAUCCUUCCGAAAUACAGCAUACAACUCUCUGUUGUACCAUGUUCUCCAAGGGUGCUUGUUCCUCCUCUCUGCCGAGUCUGUAUGAAAUAAUUCCAAUAAGAAGAAAAAUUGAAGGCCUUAAUAGACCCUCGUAUCCCAACCCAAGAAACUCUAAAGAUCCUUUUUUCAAACGAGUAAAUUUAAUGGUUGCUCACCCAACUUUAGUGUAUAUUACUACUUGCUCAUUCAUCAACAAAAUAUAUCUC